GAGCGAAUGGCGCGUGCCUAUACAUGCAGUCGAGCGGACAGAUGGGAGCUUGCUCCCUGAUGUUAGCGGCGGACGGGUGAGUAACACGUGGGUAACCUGCCUGUAAGACUGGGAUAACUCCGGGAAACCGGGGCUAAUACCGGAUGCUUGAUUGAACCGCAUGGUUCAAUUAUAAAAGGUGGCUUUUAGCUACCACUUACAGAUGGACCCGCGGCGCAUUAGCUAGUUGGUGAGGUAACGGCUCACCAAGGCAACGAUGCGUAGCCAACCUGAAAGGGUGAUCGGCCACACUGGGACUGAAACACGGCCCAAACUCCUACGGGAGGCAGCAGUAGGGAAUCUUCCCCAAUGGACAAAAGUCUGACGGACCAACGCCGCGUGAGUGAUGAAGGUUUUCGGAUCGUAAAACUCUGUUGUUAGGGAAAAACAAGUACCGUUCGAAUAGGGCGGCACCUUGACGGAACC
RNAcentral lists this ribosomal RNA (465 nucleotides) under Bacillus sp. Mcn4. Its description in RNAcentral is "bacterial SSU rRNA". It matches the Rfam family "Bacterial small subunit ribosomal RNA", at positions 37 to 479 of the family's 1533-position model. The record is from RNAcentral. Lineage: Bacteria; Bacillati; Bacillota; Bacilli; Caryophanales; Bacillaceae.